This 400-nucleotide ribosomal RNA is filed under the name uncultured bacterium. Its description in RNAcentral is "bacterial SSU rRNA". It matches the Rfam family "Bacterial small subunit ribosomal RNA", at positions 29 to 416 of the family's 1533-position model. The record is from RNAcentral.
AGCGAACGUUAGCGGCGCGCCUAACACAUGCAAGUCGCACGAGAAAGGGAGCAAUCCCCGGUACAGUGGCGCACGGGUGAGUAACACGUAGAUGACCUUCCCUGGAGUGGUGGAUAACCUGCCGAAAGGCGGGCUAAUACAGCAUGGGACCACAUGGUUUUGACCGAGUGGUGAAAGCGGGCCUCUGUUCACAAGCUCGCGCUCUGGGAUGGGUCUGCGUCCCAUCAGCUAGUUGGUGAGGUAGUGGCUCACCAAGGCAUCGACGGGUAGCUGGUCUGAGAGGAUGACCAGCCACACUGGAACUGAGACACGGUCCAGACUCCUACGGGAGGCAGCAGUGGGGAAUCUUGCGCAAUGGGCGAAAGCCUGACGCAGCGACGCCGCGUGGGUGAUGAAGGCC